RNAcentral lists this long non-coding RNA (224 nucleotides) under Setaria italica (foxtail millet). RNAcentral's name for it is "long non-coding RNA (SITA_LNC005625)". Lineage: Eukaryota; Viridiplantae; Streptophyta; Magnoliopsida; Poales; Poaceae. The record is from RNAcentral.
GCCGACGAGCGGGGGAAGCGGAGGCUUCGCGGGCCAGCGGAAAGGUGGAGCGGGCCGAAGGAGCUGCUGCGCAGCUGGGCUGCAAGAGAAAGAGGCGCGGGUGAUGCUGGGCCGCAAGAAGAAAAGAAAGGGGAGGAAAGGAAGGAUGCGGCCCAGGAGAGUAAAAGGGAAAAGAAAAGAGAGGGAAAAAGGAAAAAGGUUUUGGGAAAUUGAAUUUAAAUUUA